UACGUAGGGUGCAGGCGUUAAUCGGAAUUACUGGGCGUAAAGCGUGCGCAGGCGGUUUCUUAAGUCAGAUGUGAAAGCCCCGGGCUUAACCUGGGAACUGCGUUUGAAACUGGGAGACUAGAGUGUGGCAGAGGGGGGUGGAAUUCCACGUGUAGCAGUGAAAUGCGUAGAUAUGUGGAGGAACACCGAUGGCGAAGGCAGCCCCCUGGGAUAACACUGACGCUCAUGCACGAAAGCGUGGGGAGCAAACAGG
RNAcentral lists this ribosomal RNA (253 nucleotides) under uncultured bacterium. RNAcentral describes it as "partial 16S ribosomal RNA". It matches the Rfam family "Bacterial small subunit ribosomal RNA", at positions 524 to 776 of the family's 1533-position model. The record is from RNAcentral.